Molecule: small RNA, 733 nt
Filed under: Histoplasma ohiense
Lineage: Eukaryota; Fungi; Ascomycota; Eurotiomycetes; Onygenales; Ajellomycetaceae
Description: hypothetical lncRNA
Source: RNAcentral
UAGGCUUUGAGAAUAAUACAUGUUGACACACCCCAGAGCGAUCCCACAGAUCCUCCCAAGAUCCCCGACCUUAAACUGUAAAGCAUAGGCAGGGAGGAAGGAAGUAUUAUUCCCCGAUAUUCCAGGCAAAACAGACAGACAGCGAGGGAUCUCCAAAAAAUGGAGGUAUAGUUAUCCUCCAUGAUGGACGACGGUACUUACUACGGAGGAGAAUAGUACCGAGGUUGGCCCCCUCCUGUUCUAAAUUCGCUAGAACAUCGUUCCAUUGCAUUUCUGCAUUUAUUCGGCCGAAGUUUAUUUGUUGUCUAUCGGUCUAUGCUCUUUUCUUUGGGUGGUGGAGUCGGUGCUAGGGAAUAUCAUGAUCAACCAACCCUGCGACGAGUGACAGAUCGAAUCAUACUUCUCCGUAAUUCUCUGUGUUCUUCUUGUACGGAGUACUGGGUAUCGUAUCCAUACGGGCGACCCCCACCGAACUACUGACUCGCAACAACGACGACGAAAGCCGCCCACUCCCGUAAACUCGAUCAGAAUUCGGACGAAGAUACUAGACUAUUGUUUGCCGAUGCGGAACGUUUGGAAGGAUUUUCAUUCGCAGAGAAGAAAGGACGGCAGGGCUGGAAAGUUUUCUCGGGGGGUCCGAUUGAGGGAGAAGUGAUAUCAUCAUGAUCAUAUGUGGAUGAUAGACUUGUGUUAAAAUUAAGUAAAAUAAAUAAAAUAAUAAUAUACAAGAAAG